CGGGACACGUGGUAUCCUGUCUGAAUAUGGGGGGACCAUCCUCCAAGGCUAAAUACUCCUGACUGACCGAUAGUGAACCAGUACCGUGAGGGAAAGGCGAAAAGAACCCCGGCGAGGGGAGUGAAAAAGAACCUGAAACCGUGUACGUACAAGCAGUGGGAGCACGCUUAGGCGUGUGACUGCGUACCUUUUGUAUAAUGGGUCAGCGACUUAUAUUCUGUAGCAAGGUUAACCGAAUAGGGGAGCCGAAGGGAAACCGAGUCUUAACUGGGCGUUAAGUUGCAGGGUAUAGACCCGAAACCCGGUGAUCUAGCCAUGGGCAGGUUGAAGGUUGGGUAACACUAACUGGAGGACCGAACCGACUAAUGUUGAAAAAUUAGCGGAUGACUUGUGGCUGGGGGUGAAAGGCCAAUCAAACCGGGAGAUAGCUGGUUCUCCCCGAAAGCUAUUUAGGUAGCGCCUCGUGAAUUCAUCUCCGGGGGUAGAGCACUGUUUCGGCAAGGGGGUCAUCCCGACUUACCAACCCGAUGCAAACUGCGAAUACCGGAGAAUGUUAUCACGGGAGACACACGGCGGGUGCUAACGUCCGUCGUGAAGAGGGAAACAACCCAGACCGCCAGCUAAGGUCCCAAAGUCAUGGUUAAGUGGGAAACGAUGUGGGAAGGCCCAGACAGCCAGGAUGUUGGCUUAGAAGCAGCCAUCAUUUAAAGAAAGCGUAAUAGCUCACUGGUCGAGUCGGCCUGCGCGGAAGAUGUAACGGGGCUAAACCAUGCACCGAAGCUGCGGCAGCGACGCUGAUGCGUUGUUGGGUAGGGGAGCGUUCUGUAAGCCUGUGAAGGUGUGCUGUGAGGCAUGCUGGAGGUAUCAGAAGUGCGAAUGCUGACAUAAGUAACGAUAAAGCGGGUGAAAAGCCCGCUCGCCGGAAGACCAAGGGUUCCUGUCCAACGUUAAUCGGGGCAGGGUGAGUCGACCCCUAAGGCGAGGCCGAAAGGCGUAGUCGAUGGGAAACAGGUUAAUAUUCCUGUACUUGGUGUUACUGCGAAGGGGGGACGGAGAAGGCUAUGUUGGCCGGGCGACGGUUGUCCCGGUUUAAG
RNAcentral lists this ribosomal RNA (1094 nucleotides) under Escherichia coli. RNAcentral's name for it is "partial 23S ribosomal RNA". It matches the Rfam family "Bacterial large subunit ribosomal RNA", at positions 418 to 1516 of the family's 2925-position model. The record is from RNAcentral. Lineage: Bacteria; Pseudomonadati; Pseudomonadota; Gammaproteobacteria; Enterobacterales; Enterobacteriaceae.